Molecule: long non-coding RNA, 786 nt
Organism: Myotis brandtii (Brandt's bat)
Lineage: Eukaryota; Metazoa; Chordata; Mammalia; Chiroptera; Vespertilionidae
Exons: 3
Source: RefSeq, a predicted model, not a curated record
CCUUCGUCCCUUCUGGAUUUGCCUCCGUGUUGGUGCUUUCCCACUCGUUUUCUUUUUAGAAAAUAGUGACCACGUUGAUGGCAGAGGUAGCGAGGCGAUGGGAAUGAGCUGGGUGCCGCUUCGCGUGCACGCACCCUGAGCAGGCCUGGUCUUUAGGAUCCGAAAAGGAGAAGAGGUCGAGCAAUGCCCACAAGGCUUGAGGGCCGGGCAGUGAAGGAAUAGAACCGAAAACGGCCCGCGCGGGGAGCAGGCAGCGCGCCCAUCUUCGAUCUGUGACGCUGGCAGCUCGGAUGUGCCAGAGAGAAGCCUUAAAGGGCUUCGUUUAGACCAGACUCUCCUGCGGUGACACGGAUGCAGAAUGAACGUCUCUUUCACAGAAAGCCUGUCCCACCCGACGGCCCGCCGUCUGCCUCUCACGUUCCUCUUGCGGAAGAGAAGCAACCGUUGUUCUUCGUACAAGGGCCCCUCGCACUCCUCCCAACACCCUUGUUUAUACAGACGGACAGUCAAAACCGAUCAUCACUGUCUCAUACGUUCCCCGUCCUCGCCACGCCUGUCUGCUGUUUCUUCCUUCCAGGAUGGACGCUGGAUGAGGCCAGGUCUGUCCUGUCACUGCCCCCGUGAUGAUAUCGAGCUAUUGCCACGCCUUCUGGAACUCGCUUUUCUCCACAUCACCCUUUCGAGAUCUAGCGACCCCUGUGAUGAAGAUGAACUUUAUCCCUUUUCAAUGCUGGGCCCCUGGCGUGGCCCAGUGGUUGAGCGCCGACCUAUGAACCAGGAGGUCAG